Molecule: ribosomal RNA, 193 nt
Filed under: uncultured rumen bacterium
Lineage: Bacteria
Description: partial 16S ribosomal RNA
Rfam family: Bacterial small subunit ribosomal RNA
Source: RNAcentral
UACGGGAGGCAGCAGCUAAGAAUAUUCCGCAAUGGACGAAAGUCUGACGGAGCGACGCCGCGUGGAUGAUGAAGGCCGGAAGGUUGUAAAAUCCUUUUAUGACUGAGGAAUAAGGAAAGUGAGAGAAACGCUUUCUGGUGACUGUAGGUCAUGAAUAAGCAACGGCUAAUUACGUGCCAGCAGCCGCGGUAAU